Molecule: ribosomal RNA, 252 nt
Filed under: uncultured bacterium
Lineage: Bacteria
Description: partial 16S ribosomal RNA
Rfam family: Bacterial small subunit ribosomal RNA
Source: RNAcentral
UACGGAGGGAGCUAGCGUUGUUCGGAAUUACUGGGCGUAAAGCGCACGUAGGCGGCUUUGUAAGUUAGAGGUGAAAGCCCGGGGCUCAACUCCGGAACUGCCUUUAAGACUGCAUCGCUUGAAUCCAGGAGAGGUGAGUGGAAUUCCGAGUGUAGAGGUGAAAUUCGUAGAUAUUCGGAAGAACACCAGUGGCGAAGGCGGCUCACUGGACUGGUAUUGACGCUGAGGUGCGAAAGCGUGGGGAGCAACAGG